This 511-nucleotide ribosomal RNA is filed under the name uncultured archaeon. RNAcentral describes it as "bacterial SSU rRNA". It matches the Rfam family "Archaeal small subunit ribosomal RNA", at positions 346 to 859 of the family's 1478-position model. The record is from RNAcentral.
ACCUCUGCAAUAGGCGAAAGCCUGACAGGGUUACUCUGAGUGAUUUCCGUUAAGGAGAUCUUUUGGCACCUCUAAAAAUGGUGCAGAAUAAGGGGUGGGCAAGUCUGGUGUCAGCCGCCGCGGUAAUACCAGCACCCCGAGUGGUCGGGACGUUUAUUGGGCCUAAAGCAUCCGUAGCCGGUUCUACAAGUCUUCCGUUAAAUCCACCUGCUUAACAGAUGGGCUGCGGAAGAUACUAUAGAGCUAGGAGGCGGGAGAGGCAAGCGGUACUCGAUGGGUAGGGGUAAAAUCCGUUGAUCCAUUGAAGACCACCAGUGGCGAAGGCGGCUUGCCAGAACGCGCUCGACGGUGAGGGAUGAAAGCUGGGGGAGCAAACCGGAUUAGAUACCCGGGUAGUCCCAGCUGUAAACGAUGCAGACUCGGUGAUGAGUUGGCUUCUUGCCAACUCAGUGCCGCAGGGAAGCCGUUAAGUUUGCCGCCUGGGGAGUACGGUCGCAAGACUGAAACUUAA